RNAcentral lists this long non-coding RNA (5376 nucleotides) under Xyrichtys novacula (pearly razorfish). The record is from RNAcentral. Lineage: Eukaryota; Metazoa; Chordata; Actinopteri; Labriformes; Labridae.
UGAUCUUGUUUGGAGUUGUAAGUCGUAUAAAGGCAUCAGUUUCAAUUUCAAUCUGUUAACCAGAUAACAGCUUUGUUGGUUUUUAAUUAGAAUGAAACUAUUGGACAUAAAAAAACAAUUUAUGACUUUAGCAUAACCAAAUGGGCACCAUGACUCAUGUCCCUAUUCAAUUGUAAAAAAAAAGUUGAGCCCAGUUUUGACAUGUUACAUAAAAAAGCCACACAAGAGUUUUACUUAACAUAUGGUGUUGAUCUUCAAAAAAAUAGAAGUAGGGGUGAAGGCCUGAGACAAAAACAGAAACAGCCUAGGCUUUCUGUUUUUGUCUCUUUUCCAUUUAACACAGACAAUUAAACAUCUUUAUCUUCAUGUAGGAAGUUUUGAGCAAAAAGCCUCUCUAUAUCCCACCAAGUACAUCAGCUUUGUCCUAAGAUAACUAAAUGCAAGCAUCAUAUGCAUAUGGGUGUCUUUUGAAAAAUACAGCCAUUUGUAGAUUAGGAAAGUAAGAGAGGACUGGGACACUGAUUUAAAUUGUGUUGGUCUCUGUCUUCUUAUAAGAUGGUUUGAAACACAGACUGUAUAGAAAGAUAAAUAACAUGGCAGCCCCCCCAAAAGUGAAGCCAAAACAUUUGGCGAUCCUUCAAGUCACCGGUUGCAGCACAGGUAAUAACUCCGCUCCCUCCAUGUAAACAGAUGGGACAUGGGUCAGACUUUAAAACCAAAAUACACAUCAGACCCAUUUCCUCAAACUUGGUUACAGUUUUUAAAUUUAGCUCAUAUCAUGUUGAUUAUUUUCCAAAUUUGUGUGUGUUUUGUGUUGUAUAGAACUUUUUUGAUGCUAAAAAGUGGAUGCGAUGUCUCGACUGAGGAUCAGCUUCAACACAGUCGAAAGUUCACCACUGCUUUACAGAACUGGUGCUAUCAGGUUUUAACUUCCUUGAUAAAUGAGGGGUAUUCUGUUCAAGUCACAAGACUGCACUGUUAGCUCCACAGUCUUGAGACUUAUCUUUCUGGCCCCUCGACUGCAUACUGAGAGUCAACAAUACAGCUCUGCACACAGUCCUGAAGAGCACUAAUGAGCUUGUUAACUUCAAUCACAGCUCCUACAUUGACAUUUGGGAAAGAAUUUAUUCCAUCCAAGAGGAAUUAAUCUCAUUAGAGCUCCAGAGUCAUAUAGACUGGGCCUGCUUGGCAUAAUUGAUGCUGCUAUUGUACAGGUCUAAUCAACCCAGUGAGGGUUUUCGGAGCAGCUAAAAUGUAGACAACAGGCUUUGAAAUGGUUAAUGCCUAACAUCUUUGAGCUUUUGCACUGUUCAAACCUGUACAUGAGUAUAUGGAGAUGAUACAAGAUCAUAUACAUCUCUGGGUUACUCAAGGAUAUUGAGUUAAUUUUGGUCAUGUAAAUUGGUCAUGUAAAUUCAUCCAUCCAUCUUCAGCCGCUUAUCCGGGGUUGGGUCGCUGAGGCAGCAGUCUGAAGACUUCCCUCUCCCCUGCCACUUUGUCCAGCUCUUCCCGAGGGAAGAAGCCACAGCACCAUCCACCAAACAUCUUUUUAACUUUGCCUAAUUUCUUUCUCAAAGAGACUAAACACAACUCACCUACUCUCUUCCAGCAGCCGCUUGUUUGUAACGAGACCUCGGGCCAAUCCAUUACAGACUACAGUGGGGUGACACAGCUCAAGGAAGAACAUUUAUGAUCAUUUCUUCAUGGAAAUGUAAUCAGACCGAGACGCUAAGGCAGAAGAACUACUGCGUCUGCGGUGCAUUAUAAUAUGGUGAUUAUUACUGAGAGGAAAUGACAACGUAAUAAUCAUAAAUAUUCUUCCUUGAGCUGUGUCUUGCUAAAAACAAGCGACUGCUGGAAGAGAGUAGGUGAGUUGUGUUUAGUCUCUUUGCUAAAGAAAUUAGGCAAAGUUAGAAAGAUGUUUGGUGGCUAGUGCUGUGGCUAGGACCCUAUAUGUACUGUUGAUGAAGUUAGGUGCUGUUCUGAGCAUUAUUUGUGGCUAUAGAGUGGCGUUUUUGGUUGAGGUUUGUGUGUGAUUCCAUAGACCACUGUAUACUGCUAUCCUGUGGUUGUUACUAAAGUUAUUAUAACUAAAGAAGCAAGCGGUCGGCACCAUUCAUCUGAGGGGGUGUCUAACUCGGUGUUGGGGUGUGUUUGACCCUAAAUUAAUUUUACGCUGGAAUAUCCCUCUAACAAAAUCACUGUUAAAGGAAUCAUAGAUGUUUACAGUAUUAUUACAUGGGUCAUAUGUAGCUGUAGUGCAGGAGCCACCUCCAUUAACCCAGGCUAUAGCUCUGUUUUAUGGUGACUGCCAUAAUGCUUAAAAGCUCUAUAACCCUAGAUGUACACAAGCACAGAUGACAGAUAGAUGGCAUCUUAGUUCUACAUGGUUUGGCAGUAUUUUGAUCAAGAAAAUGAUGACAAAAUAUAUGUAGGUUAUUUAAAUGGUAGUUGAUCUUUUUUUGAGUAUUUUCUUGUUUUUUUUGACUGGACAAAUAGACAAAACUGACUUGGGAUUUGAUGCAUUUCUCAAAAUGUCACAUUAUUUCUCAAAUGGGCUGUACCGAUUAUGAAAGAUCUUCAAAAUUAGUUCAAAACAAUCUCUGUAUUUAGAACAGUCCGGUUAGCAACAGCAGUAUUGUAAUUGUAUCCUUAUACACAGCACUGAAGCAGGCAGGUUUAUGUCUGCAGGAUGUCCAUUGAUCAGUGUGACAGCAGAUCCCUCUGUAGGACCCUGCUCUUUGACCCCUGACUGAUCCUGACGCUGGAAGAUUCACACUGUGAAGGGCUCUAUGGGGAUAUUUUACAACUUAGACCAAAGUCUGAGAGGAGUGUUUUCUGAAUGACCCGUACCUGAUCUUCAUCCCAUAUGGAGAGGGACAACCCACUGAGCAACUUCACACAUUCCCCUCAGAGGGAUGUAGCUGUUCUGUGCUUAGUGAGUCACUGAGCUUUUAUGAAUGGAUCUCUUUUGUGAAUGGAAACCAGUCGUUAGGUAAAUCUGUUUAACUAAUACGACGUACUACACCUCUAUUUACCUUCAAGUGAGGUUUAAAGUAUUUCUUCAUCUACUGAACAACAAACUUUGGUCUAUAUAAGCACAACCUGUUCAUCUUACACAUAUCAUUUUUCGCUUUAUCAUACAAUCACUUUACUCACUUUUUCUUUGUGGAUCAUUGGACAGUUUAAGUUAUGAAAUAUCAUCUCACACACCUUCAUCUCAGGAAUUUGGGGGUUAAGAAAAAAAAAGGAAAGACCUGUCCCUCUUAAUUUUAGCGACAGUGGCAGCGGGUAAGCAAGUGACCCACAGUGACCCCUGGAAUACCAGACACGGGCUCAAGUGUAAAUAAAGGUUUGGUAUUCAUUCACAGUUGUGACACCCCAACAAGGACACAGUUUGUGUGGAUGUAGAGCUCAGAAGAGUGUCUUUCUUUAAGUUGUACUUCUGAAAAAGCAAACAAAAUUAACAAGAGUCAAAUACAAAAAGAAAAAAAUAACAAGACUUGAUUAUUUUUUUUCAUACUAGUCUUUUUUGAUGCAAAGAAAAGCAUGAUAAGAUACACUUUUUGCAAAAUGGGAGCCCAAGUUGGACCACCUCAGUGAAAAAAAGUUAGUACACACUCCUGAAAAAAGGGCGCACUGUAAUCUGUGUGAAUAUGAGCGCUCCGGGCUUGGAAGUAAAAACAACCUCCAUUUUCUGAUACAGUCAUCCAUGUAUGUUUUUUAACUGAACUUUCUCUCCUUCAUCAUUUCAUGCCGUUAAAAAGUUUUUCCAUCAACUCAUGUCUGGCAUUCUUGUUUCACCACUCAGAACAGUUUAAUGUAUAGCCAAUUUCCAUAAGUAGACACAUUCUCAUUUAUAGCAGUAAAUCCUGUUGUAAAAGUGCCAACAAUGAAAGUUAGGUAGUCUAACAGACCCACCAACAUGUCUCUAUUGCUUUCCUGUUGUUUUCAGAUAAAGGCAGCAACAAUAAAACCCCAUGUGCUAAAUUCUCCUCCAUGGUAACAGAGGAAAAGUACCCUAAAUGCUCCAGAGAGAAUCAUCAAGACCAAGCACUUUAUUAUUCUUCAGUACAUGCACAGAAGAGAGCAUGUUAGCACUUAAUUACAGUAGCAUCAGGACACUGCAAGUGUGUGUAUGUGUGUGUGUGUGUGUUUUCGUCUAAUGGUGAACGGAGGCAGAUGGAACAAGCCUGAGGCAGUGCACAUUAAACCUGCAGAGUCCUGUGGAGAAAAGGAGGAAAAGACCCUGAGUUUAUUCUAAACUCUUCAGGGAGACACUUCAGUGUGCACACACACACCUCUAAACUGGCCUCACAUUAAGGGGAGCUAUCAUUUAGUUAAACAACCUUGGCUUCUCUUUCCCCAGAUAUCAAACAAAACCACCUCCAAAGUGCUCCUGCUCAAGACCUGCGACAGUGUCAGAGAGUAUCAUCACUGAACCAUGCAGCAUGUGACCAGAAAGUAAACAUGACUGUGCUUAUCUUUCACCAUUUUGUGUAAUUAGAUAUUCUGUAAAUCUCUGCUUGACAGUCCUGGUCAAACUAUGGUGGUGGCACAAUAUUGAGUUAUAGUGCUCCAACCAAAAUACGCCCCUGACUUUGCUUUAUUCCGCCAGAGGUUACGUAUGCUGUAUCAGAUUACACAUCCAGUGUAUACAGACCUAAAUCUAACAUUUAUUCUAAUCCAUUCCAUACAUGAUGACUGUGUUUUAAGGCGAGCAAGAUGUGCCAAACUUGCUUGGUGACAACAUACUGGGAUCCAGUCGUUUGUCACUGUCACUCAGCCAAAGAAGCACAAGUAUGCCAUGCUGCUAUGUCGCACGUGAAAAAAAAAGGUAUUGUUAAGCUGACCUACAUUCAAGGGAAAGUUCAGAGUUUUGAUGAAUGUAAAAUGUCUAGUUAAAAUGUUUUGAAUGAGCGUUUCUUUGAGUUUAGGCCUUGGCAACACAAUACUAAUUUUAUGUAGCACUCAGGAGUUAACAACAGGUUGUCGUAAUGAAGCCUGAUAUUACUCACAACUUUCAAAUUGCUUAAAUUCAGUCUCAUAUUCAGAACUUGCAUGUAUGCAUGUUUUGGAAACUCCCAUUUCAACCUAAAUGAAUGACAUGUUUGUUUAGCCUGCAAAGUAUUCAUGCUUCAUAAUAACAGCAUAGACGUUAAGUAUCAGCCGACCAAAUUGAACCCUCUUUUCUUCAUCUUCUUAAAGGAAUUUCUUUAUUCUUUUUCAAUCGCAUGGGUGGGACAAGAAAAUGACACCACUCCUGUAUGGAUUUGUUAGAUAAAAGGUGAUAAUCAGGACCAACACAGUUGAAAACAACAACAACAACAACAACAAAAGCACAAGAGCUGACCAUGAGUGGCCCCAAAAGACAAG